Molecule: ribosomal RNA, 484 nt
Filed under: uncultured bacterium
Lineage: Bacteria
Description: partial 16S ribosomal RNA
Rfam family: Bacterial small subunit ribosomal RNA
Source: RNAcentral
AUUGAACGCUGGCGGCAUGCUUUACACAUGCAAGUCGAACGGCAGCGCGGGCUUCGGCCUGGCGGCGAGUGGCGAACGGGUGAGUAAUGCAUCGGAACGUGCCCAGUAGUGGGGGAUAGCCCGGCGAAAGCCGGAUUAAUACCGCAUACGACCUGAGGGUGAAAGCGGGGGACCGAAAGGCCUCGCGCUAUUGGAGCGGCCGAUGUCGGAUUAGCUAGUUGGUGGGGUAAAGGCUUACCAAGGCGACGAUCCGUAGCUGGUCUGAGAGGACGACCAGCCACACUGGGACUGAGACACGGCCCAGACUCCUACGGGAGGCAGCAGUGGGGAAUUUUGGACAAUGGGGGCAACCCUGAUCCAGCCAUGCCGCGUGCGGGAAGAAGGCCUUCGGGUUGUAAACCGCUUUUGUUCGGGAAGAAAUCCUCUGGGCUAAUACCCCGGGGGGAUGUCGGUACCGGAAGAAUAAGCACCGGCUAACUACGUG